GGGGGACCUUCGGGCCUCUUGCCAUCGGAUGUGCCCAGAUGGGAUUAGCUUGUUGGUGGGGUAACGGCUCACCUAGGCGACGAUCCCUAGCUGGUCUGAGAGGAUGACCAGCCACACUGGAACUGAGACACGGUCCAGACUCCUACGGGAGGCAGCAGUGGGGAAUAUUGCACAAUGGGCGCAAGCCUGAUGCAGCCAUGCCGCGUGUAUGAAGAAGGCCUUCGGGUUGUAAAGUACUUUCAGCGGGGAGGAAGGGAGUAAAGUUAAUACCUUUGCUCAUUGACGUUACCCGCAGAAGAAGCACCGGCUAACUCCGUGCCAGCAGCCGCGGUAAUACGGAGGGUGCAAGCGUUAAUCGGAAUUACUGGGCGUAAAGCGCACGCAGGCGGUUUGUUAAGUCAGAUGUGAAAUCCCCGGGCUAAAA
Molecule: ribosomal RNA, 424 nt
Filed under: Escherichia coli
Lineage: Bacteria; Pseudomonadati; Pseudomonadota; Gammaproteobacteria; Enterobacterales; Enterobacteriaceae
Description: bacterial SSU rRNA
Rfam family: Bacterial small subunit ribosomal RNA
Source: RNAcentral